This 449-nucleotide ribosomal RNA is filed under the name uncultured bacterium. Its description in RNAcentral is "partial 16S ribosomal RNA". It matches the Rfam family "Bacterial small subunit ribosomal RNA", at positions 354 to 796 of the family's 1533-position model. The record is from RNAcentral.
GUCGAGAAUAAUUCACAAUGGGGGCAACCCUGAUGGAGCGACGCCGCGUGGAGGAUAAGGUCUUCGGAUUGUAAACUCCUGUCAUGCGUGAACAAGGUUGCUUGGUUAAUACCUGGGCAAAUUGAUGGUAACGCAAGAGGAAGAGACGGCUAACUCUGUGCCAGCAGCCGCGGUAAUACAGAGGUCUCAAGCGUUGUUCGGAAUCACUGGGCGUAAAGGGUGCGUAGGUGGCGUGGUAAGUCAGAUGUGAAAGCCCGGGGCUCAACCUGGGAACUGCAUCCGAUACUGCCAUGCUAGAGUACUGGAGAGGUGACUAGAAUUCUCGGUGUAGCAGUGAGAUGCGUAGAUAUCGAGAGGAAUACCAAAGGCGUAGGCAGGUCACUGGACAGUUACUGACACUGAGGCACGAAGGCCAGGGGAGCGAACGGGAUUAGAUACCCUUGUAGUCC